RNAcentral lists this ribosomal RNA (357 nucleotides) under Escherichia coli. RNAcentral describes it as "partial 23S ribosomal RNA". It matches the Rfam family "Bacterial large subunit ribosomal RNA", at positions 165 to 560 of the family's 2925-position model. The record is from RNAcentral. Lineage: Bacteria; Pseudomonadati; Pseudomonadota; Gammaproteobacteria; Enterobacterales; Enterobacteriaceae.
CAUAGGUUAAUGAGGCGAACCGGGGGAACUGAAACAUCUAAGUACCCCGAGGAAAAGAAAUCAACCGAGAUUCCCCCAGUAGCGGCGAGCGAACGGGGAGCAGCCCAGAGCCUGAAUCAGUAUGUGUGUUAGUGGAAGCGUCUGGAAAGGCGCGCGAUACAGGGUGACAGCCCCGUACACAAAAAUGCACAUGCUGUGAGCUCGAUGAGUAGGGCGGGACACGUGGUAUCCUGUCUGAAUAUGGGGGGACCAUCCUCCAAGGCUAAAUACUCCUGACUGACCGAUAGUGAACCAGUACCGUGAGGGAAAGGCGAAAAGAACCCCGGCGAGGGGAGUGAAAAAGAACCUGAAACCGUG